GUUGUUGUUGUCAUAUCUAGUUCCUUUAAUGGCCUUUUUGAUUCCUCUUUCUCCGAUACUGGCUGCAUAACCGUCGGGGCACUGCCCAUUCCGGGGAACCAUUGUAGCAGUGGAAUUGGAUUUAAUUUCUGUGGGAUUCCACUUUCUGGAGUUACGAUUCGAGCCAUAGAUAAUGUGGGGGAGUAAUUUUUGUAGGAUAUGGUUGUGUUGGUGGCCGGCGGCGGUGAGCAGCUCGCUUUCCGUUGCCGGAGUCUCUCUUU
This 260-nucleotide long non-coding RNA is filed under the name Nicotiana benthamiana. RNAcentral describes it as "long non-coding RNA (NBEN_LNC005342)". Lineage: Eukaryota; Viridiplantae; Streptophyta; Magnoliopsida; Solanales; Solanaceae. The record is from RNAcentral.